GUGAGUCCAGUCUUCUGCUUCUUCUACUCCUGACGAUGCUGUCUUCUCUCCGCCGUAUCAUAUCUCAAACAACAAACUUCAAUGGAGGGAUUUCUGGAAUUGACCUUGCCGAGUUCGUCUCCAGUAACAAUGGCGUCCUUAGAACGAGUUUGCAAGGAAGAAUAAUUCCUACCUGCGAUAAUCUCAAGAAAUUGGUUCAUCGUGACGAGAAUGUAGUUGCCAUCUUGGAGCGGAGUUCGUGGAUUCUUACAGGAAACUUAAUACCUCAGGUGAUGGUAAAUAUUGAAACUUUGGGAGAUGGAGGUGUUCCUCGACCCAAUAUUGUUAAUUUUCUAAAUCAGUCAGCCAAGAGUAUUUACAAUAAGCACUGGCAGAUUGAAGGAGAUUGUAAAAGAGAUUAAGGGGUUGGGUAUUGAUCCUUAUAAAAAUACGUAUCUUCAUGUUAUCCAGUUAUUUACAGGGAUGAGCAAUUCCAGUAGGGAGUCAAAGCUGGAUUCUUACAGAAGAUUGGGUUGGUCUGAAGAAGAAAUUCAGAAAGCAUUUAGGUCAUAUCCUCAGUGUAUGUUGAAAUCUAAGAAAAAGAUAACCUCCGUAAUGGAUUACCUUGUGAAUCAAAUGGAUUAUAGUCCAUCAUUUAUUGCUAAAUGGCCAAAUAUUUUUACUUAUAGCUUGGAGAAGAGGAUUAUACCUAGGUGUUCUGUUUACAAAAUUCUAACCUCCAAAGGUCUGGUUAAGAAUCAGAUUUCCUUAUCUUCGCUUAUGCAAAUGGGCGAAGAGUCUUUUUUGGAGAAGUUUGUGAUCAAGUUUGAGGUAGAAGUUCCGGAACUAUUGAAGCUGUACCCAAGUGCAGUAAAAGCUAGAACUACCUAGGAGUACUUCUGGAGGAUGUUCAGAGAUAAAAAUAUUGUACAGUUUGUCUCAAUUAAGACUUCAAACAUCAGAUGAAAAUUGAAUAGAAAAGCUUGGAGAAGAGGAUUAUACAUAGGUGUUCUGUUACAAAUGGGCGAUGAGUCUUUUUCAGAGAAGUUGGUGAUCAAGAUUGAGCUAGAAGCUCCAGAACAUUGGAGCUAUAUCCAACUUGUGCAGUUAAAUCUAGAGCCACCUAGUAGUAGUGCUUCUGGAAAUGCUCAGAGAUAACAAGACACUCGGGGAGUUCUCGGCAGGGAAAAUACAUGUGCUUAUUGCUUGCAGAAGCCAUGGAGUAGGGAUAUCCAAAUGGGGAGCAUUUGGACCUGCUUUCGCUUCCAGGUCCAUGACAACAGAUGCUCGCUCCAGGGAACCAGUUUCUUGUUUCACUAAUGACAUAGCUCCUCCGCGUAUAAAAUUCAAGAGGCUCGAUAAAACAGCCAGACAUAUCAUGC
Long non-coding RNA from Papaver somniferum (opium poppy), 1361 nucleotides. RefSeq lists it as uncharacterized. Lineage: Eukaryota; Viridiplantae; Streptophyta; Magnoliopsida; Ranunculales; Papaveraceae. The record is from RefSeq and is a predicted model, not a curated record. The transcript is spliced from 4 exons.